AAUGCUUUUUCACUCUCUGCUGAUAUGACUGACCAUGACACAUGGCAGUUGAUCUCUUCUUUUCGAUCGAAUUCAGCAUCGGCCAACUUGGGACUUUGAGGGUGCUAUUUCUCUUUUGUUUUUUUUUUUUUUUCUUUUGAUUUGCUUUUGAUUUCUUUUGAUUUUGAUUUUUUAUUUUGCACCCUCUCUUUUCUCUUUUUUUUUUACUUUUUUUUUUGUUGAUUUUUUUGAUGCCCCAGUUGGCUGUUCUGCUGAUUCUCGAGAUACAGCUGAGUGAUCUUCUUUUCUUGCCCAAGAAGUCGGGAAAUCUCGUCAGGAAUCCCUUCAACAUCAUCUUCGUCCGCUUCGAAUACAGGGAAUUCAAAAUUGGGAGAUGACGUCCGAUCACUAUGUUCAAUGGGUUUGAGAAAUAACCUGCAUAAUGAUUUUGAUAUGAAAAGCUUUUUGAAAAACAAAC
This 457-nucleotide long non-coding RNA is filed under the name Lathyrus oleraceus (garden pea). Its description in RNAcentral is "Pisum sativum (pea) long non-coding RNA (PSAT_LNC041083)". Lineage: Eukaryota; Viridiplantae; Streptophyta; Magnoliopsida; Fabales; Fabaceae. The record is from RNAcentral.